AAAAAAAGGAAAAAAAAAAAAAAAGGCAAUAUUCACCUACUCCCCUAUUCUUAAAAUGUAACUCUUCAUUGUAAAGGUUUCCUCCUUGUACAUGAAGGAAAUCAGUCUGAUACACUGGUUGUGAUGAACACAGAUCAAGAGCUUGACCGCUAAAUUUAGGGAAAAUGUGAGUCUGUAGUCAGACUGUGAGAUGAAGCCUUCUUCUUUAUCACUGGGACAAAAUCCUACGCAUCGCUUUACAAUUUGGACGCAGAACCACAUAUGGUUAAAGUUUGAAGCCAUCCCUCAUCAACAACUGAUCGUUUUUUGUAUUAUAUACACAUACAAAAAAAAAAAAAAAAAAAAAAAAAACCUUAAAAUCUAAGUCAUCUAUUUAUUGAUGGUUGACCACUGUUGUGAAUAACCCUACUGGAAGUUGAUGAAUGGCUUAAUGUAAUGAAUAUAACUCAGCAGAUUAUGGCUUACUCUAAGGAAAAAGUUCUAAUAAAGUUUCCAGUACUUUAAGGAUUUGAUAGGGCCUAGACUAGUCUAGGCUGUUCUGCUUUAAUGUUAAAUAAAUACAUAUUUUAAAACUUUGCAAUGAAAGCUUACAGCUUAGGUAGUCCAUUAACAAAACAAGAGAAGAAGUAGAAAUAGAAAACAGGGAGUGCAGCCAUGGUUAGAGACAGAAAGGGAGUUUUAUUAAUAUUUUAUCCCUCCCUAAGCAGGGGCUGGGGCUCAUAAAACCCCAUUCAAUAGCUACUACAUUCAACAACAACAAAUGCUUACUUGCAGAUUUUUGACCAAGUCCAUUGAGAAAACAUUAUUUGCUCAGUGAGGCACUUGCAUUUUAGUUUGCUCCCAGUUUCAGGGAGUGGCCCACACCGUACCCUCAACAGCUAAGAACCCCCCCCUAAAACCCACACCGAAUCGCUGUGCCAUUCAGCCCAGCCCUCCGUUGAUCCCAAUUCCUUUUGUCGCUCUGCACCUCGGACAAACGGCACUAUCUGCAUGUGAAGGGGAAAGGGAUGAUGGAGGCUUUUAAUUGAUGCGGAUUUAAUUAUGCUAAUUUAGACAGCUGUAAAGCCUUUUCAGUAUGGGUGCAUAAUAGGACCAGCAAAUACAGGUGUCCUUCACUGUGGGCGCUUAAUGUUUAACCUCGGUGGUUUUGUGAGGAGGGGAAAACGCCGAGUAAUGGUUAACCAACAGAAUGCUCUCUUUCUUGAAGACCUAAAGAGGGCAUUUUGCUUUGGUUCUUUACUCAGUCCCAUGCAAGGCUACAGAAACCUGCACUGAGCAGAGCAAGGAAUCCUCUAAUGGCCGAGACUUGGAGUCUUGUAGCCCUUUAGGCUUCUUCUGUGACCCUUUCUUGCCAUCUUUCAUCUCUGUAUCAAACCUCAUCAGCUACAAUUAAAGCAAAUAAGCAACUUACCUUUGUAGAGUGUUUCCAGCAUCCUAUCCACUUCUUUGCCUUUCCCAGUGCUCCCAGCCCAGCUCCCACAUCCUUUCUAGGCUAGGUAGCUUAUCUCUAUAGGAUACAUCCUUCAAAUUGCCCAUGUAUUUUUGGCAGGUCCAGCACCUAGGUGCUUAGGCAUCACCUUCCUGCCCCACAGUAACACACACCUCCAGAAUAAAAUGAAUUGCUAGAGCUAAUUUAAAAAUAGAAGUUGCCAUUUAACUAAACA
RNAcentral lists this long non-coding RNA (1664 nucleotides) under Gallus gallus (chicken). RNAcentral describes it as "lncRNA (ENSGALG00010011060.1)". The record is from RNAcentral. Lineage: Eukaryota; Metazoa; Chordata; Aves; Galliformes; Phasianidae.